This is a long non-coding RNA of Prionailurus viverrinus (fishing cat), 170 nucleotides long. RefSeq lists it as uncharacterized. Lineage: Eukaryota; Metazoa; Chordata; Mammalia; Carnivora; Felidae. The record is from RefSeq and is a predicted model, not a curated record. The transcript has 3 exons.
AAUGGAUAGUAUUGGUGCGAGUGGAAGUAUUAUGGUUGAUAUUACGAUUAGGGUGGGUAAGAAGGUCAUUUUUUUUGUACAUUCAAAUCGUCAUUUUAUUUUUAUGUUAUUGUUUGAGGGGAAUAUGGUUAGUGCAGUAGUAUAUGUUAGUCGUAUGCCGUCUUCUGUUU